GGGCCCGUAGCUCAAUGGUUAGAGCACCAAGCUUAUACCUUGGGGGUUCCUGGUUCGAAUCCAGGCGGGCCCACCA
RNAcentral lists this transfer RNA (76 nucleotides) under candidate division WWE3 bacterium. RNAcentral's name for it is "tRNA-Ile". It matches the Rfam family "tRNA". From Rfam's summary of the family: Transfer RNA (tRNA) molecules are approximately 80 nucleotides in length. Their secondary structure includes four short double-helical elements and three loops (D, anti-codon, and T loops). Further hydrogen bonds mediate the characteristic L-shaped molecular structure. tRNAs have two regions of fundamental functional importance: the anti-codon, which is responsible for specific mRNA codon recognition, and the 3' end, to which the tRNAs corresponding amino acid is attached (by aminoacyl-tRNA synthetases). tRNAs cope with the degeneracy of the genetic code in two manners: having more than one tRNA (with a specific anti-codon) for a particular amino acid; and 'wobble' base-pairing, i.e. permitting non-standard base-pairing at the 3rd anti-codon position. Lineage: Bacteria; candidate division WWE3. The record is from RNAcentral.